This 48-nucleotide microRNA precursor is filed under the name Podarcis lilfordi (Lilford's wall lizard). Lineage: Eukaryota; Metazoa; Chordata; Lepidosauria; Squamata; Lacertidae. The record is from RNAcentral.
UGUGUGUGUGUGUGUGUGUGUGUAUACACACACACACACACACACACA